CAGUCGCCGCGGUAAUACGUAGGUGGCAAGCGUUGUCCGGAAUUAUUGGGCGUAAAGGGCUCGCAGGCGGUUUCUUAAGUCUGUCUUAAAAGUUCGGGGCUUAACCCCGUGAUGGUAUGGAAACUGCUGAUCUAGAGUAUCGGAGAGGAAAGUGGAAUUCCUAGUGUAGCGGUGAAAUGCGUAGAUAUUAGGAAGAACACCAGUGGCGAAGGCGACUUUCUGGACGAAAACUGACGCUGAGGCGCGAAAGCCAGGGGAGCGAACGGGAUUAGAUACCCCCGUAGUCCCUGUCUCUUAUACA
This 301-nucleotide ribosomal RNA is filed under the name uncultured bacterium. RNAcentral's name for it is "partial 16S ribosomal RNA". It matches the Rfam family "Bacterial small subunit ribosomal RNA", at positions 509 to 809 of the family's 1533-position model. The record is from RNAcentral.